UAGCCACCGUUAACACGAAUAAUUUGACCAUUAACCCAUUCAGAAGCAUCAGUAGCCAAAAAACCAACAACAGGAGCAACAUCUUUAGUCUCACCAAGUCUACCAAACGGACUCUCUUCUUCAGUUUUCUUCACCAUCUCCUCCGUUUUCCCUUCGAAAAACAUCUCCGUUGCAAUCGGUCCCGGUGCCACACAGUUUGCAGUAAUCCCCGUUCCCUUCAGCUCCUUCGCCAGAAUCUUCGUCAUCGCUUCCACAGCCGCCUUCGACGCUGUGUAAGCUCCCAUACAGAUCUUCAAUGCCGCCACCAAUGACGAUGUCAGCAGUAUGAUUCUCCCUCCUCCGCCACGCUUCAAACGAUUCGCCGCCUCCUUCGUACAGAGAAACGCUCCUUUUAAGUUUAUAUUCAUGAUACGAUCGAAGCUUUCAACGGUUGUGUUUGCUAUGGUAGGGUACUUGGCGUCGAGGACGCCGGCUGAGUUAACCAGGAUGUGGACAGGCGAUUUGAAGGCUUCUUCGGCGGAGUCGAAGAGAGAUUUUACACCCUCCGGAUCAGACACGUCAGCGCGGACGGUGAUGGCUCGAAAAGUUGUUUGGUUGGCGUUGAUCUCGGCGGCGACGGAAUCAGCAUUGUUGGAGUUGGAGGUAUAGUUGAUGACGAGUCUUGCGCCGAGUGAAGCAAGGUGGAGUGCGAUCUCUUUACCGAUUCCACGGGAGGAACCGGUGACGAUUGCAACUCGGUCUUGAAGCGGUAGAGAAGCCAUGUGUCGUUCUUCUUAACUGAUAUCGCUCUUUCUCUGUAUUUUGUACUUGGUUUUUUGGUUGGUUUAGUGUGAUAAAAUAUCAACCAAUCAAAAUGUAAUAUACAAAAUGUAACAUUCAAUGUCAAAUAAAUAAGUCAAUUUAUUUUAGGAAAAAUUACAUUAAAUGACAUUUAUCU
This 937-nucleotide long non-coding RNA is filed under the name Medicago truncatula (barrel medic). Its description in RNAcentral is "lncRNA gene42714". Lineage: Eukaryota; Viridiplantae; Streptophyta; Magnoliopsida; Fabales; Fabaceae. The record is from RNAcentral.